This 751-nucleotide long non-coding RNA is filed under the name Capsella grandiflora. RNAcentral describes it as "long non-coding RNA (CGRA_LNC000887)". Lineage: Eukaryota; Viridiplantae; Streptophyta; Magnoliopsida; Brassicales; Brassicaceae. The record is from RNAcentral.
UGGAAAGAAAACUAUUGGCAAUAAAUGGUAUGUUUCUUACUACAAUAAAACCCCAUAAAUGGCAUGUUUCUUACUACAACAAAUAUAGAAUUGGUACGUAGAAUUAUAUAUCAGUCUUCAGGUAAAAUCGAACUAACAUGUCAAAAGAAUAGACGAGGGGUCCUAUAUAACUAGAAACAGCUCUACAUGAUAUUAGAUGAGUAGAGUGACACAUGUAUCUAUUAAUGUAAUGGUUCUACAAUCAUUGAUCGAUCUUGCUUAGCUAAAUAGACAUGUUAAGAUCUGAGAACUUCUAUCUCGUUGCCAAUUGAAAACUCUAACUAACAAAUUAAAAGACACCAAGAUUUAAUGAAUAUUCACCUAGUGAGCCGUUUCUUGUAAUAUCCCAACGGCUCAAGAAGAUAACACUCACGACCACACCAAAAAGCCUGAGACAACUCCACUAAUCAGUCAGCUACUCCUCAGGAAACUAGAAGGUAUGGACUAGGAGGGAUGGACCGAGCAAACUUCACACCAAAAAUCCUUAGAAGGAAGCUAGGAGGUAUGGACCGAGCAAACUCCACUAAUCAAUCAGCUCAUCCUCAGGAAACUUAUCUCUCCCUCUGGUUCUCUGUUUUCCAAUUGCCUUGAUGUGAAACCAUAGCACUCUAUUUCUUGUACUUUUUUAUAUCACCUCCCAAUCUGGUCUCUUCCGCAAAACUGUAAACUCUGACUAUUUCUUAUAUAUAAAUCGGUAUCUCUUUAAAAAAAA